RNAcentral lists this ribosomal RNA (469 nucleotides) under uncultured bacterium. RNAcentral's name for it is "partial 16S ribosomal RNA". It matches the Rfam family "Bacterial small subunit ribosomal RNA", at positions 28 to 508 of the family's 1533-position model. The record is from RNAcentral.
GACGAACGCUGGCGGCGUGCUUAACACAUGCGAGUCGAACGGAAAGGCCCUGCUUUUGUGGGGUGCUCGAGUGGCGAACGGGUGAGUAACACGUGAGUAACCUGCCCUUGACUUUGGGAUAACUUCAGGAAACUGGGGCUAAUACCGGAUAGGAGCUCCUGCUGCAUGGUGGGGGUUGGAAAGUUUCGGCGGUUGGGGAUGGACUCGCGGCUUAUCAGCUUGUUGGUGGGGUAGUGGCUUACCAAGGCUUUGACGGGUAGCCGGCCUGAGAGGGUGACCGGCCACAUUGGGACUGAGAUACGGCCCAGACUCCUACGGGAGGCAGCAGUGGGGAAUAUUGCACAAUGGGCGGAAGCCUGAUGCAGCAACGCCGCGUGCGGGAUGACGGCCUUCGGGUUGUAAACCGCUUUCGCCUGUGACGAAGCGUGAGUGACGGUAAUGGGUAAAGAAGCACCGGCUAACUACGUGC